Molecule: microRNA precursor, 99 nt
Filed under: Marmota monax (woodchuck)
Lineage: Eukaryota; Metazoa; Chordata; Mammalia; Rodentia; Sciuridae
Source: RNAcentral
AGUGGGACGGCUGGGUCAAAUGGUGGUUCCAUUCCUUUCUGAGAAAUCUCCAUAUUGUUUUCCAAAGUGGUUAUACCAAUUUGCAGUCCCACCAGCAAU